RNAcentral lists this long non-coding RNA (12144 nucleotides) under Manihot esculenta (cassava). RNAcentral's name for it is "long non-coding RNA (MESC_LNC007794)". Lineage: Eukaryota; Viridiplantae; Streptophyta; Magnoliopsida; Malpighiales; Euphorbiaceae. The record is from RNAcentral.
UUUGUUAUUCAUAUCUACUCGAUCAUAUCCAAAACCACAAAAUUUAUCUCUGUAAAACCAUCUUGCAAUAAUUGAGGAGAUGAUGGAGGACCAGUCAGCGACAUGAGCGACGAGUGUCGUUGGUGGAGGCGCAACGAACAGCAGGUGAUAGGACCACCAAUGUGAGUGAGAGCAGCAACGUGAGCGGAGGGUACAACUAGCGAUAGGUUACGGGAACAACGAGCGACUGGCGAUAGCAAGCAACGAGCAACAAUGAGCAAUGGGCAACGACAAGCAACAAGUGACGGUGAGCAGCAGGUGAUGACGAGCAGUAACCUUUUGGUGAUUUUUUAUUUUUUUAAUUUUUUAUAAUUGGAUUUUAUUUAUUUUGACUUUUGUUAGAUUUGUUAAUUUUUGUUAGAUUUAUUGAAUUUGAAUCUUAAAUCUCUUGAAAUUUUUAUUUGUUUAUGUAGAUUGAGUUUGUGAUUUUAAUUAUUUUUUUGAUUUGUGGAUAAGUUUUUGUUGCUUCAUUUCUUUAAGAGAGAGACCUCUAAUUUUGAUAAAAUUAAACUUUUGGGACUAAAGUGUUAGAUUUUAAAGAGGAUAGUUAGGUCAUGUCUCCUUUCAUUAAUGGUAUUUUUUUAUAUGGAUGACCUCUAAUUUUUACGGAAUUAAAGUUGAGGGAUUGAAAUGUUAGGUUCAAAAUAGAGAGGGCCAAAUUCAUUAAUUAUACUACAUCUCAAGGACAAAAAAAUAAAUUUUCCAAUGCAAUUAUGUAUUAUAGGAACCAUUUAUUAAUUUGACCAGAUUAAUUAACCUGCAUGCAAGCUAGGCUUAAGCCCCUUUGUCUCUUCCUCCAUUUGCUCCAUUGGACUUGCAGUCUCUUGAUCCGAAGCCUUUGGACUGUCUUCUUCAUCUGGCGUGUGGAUUGUUUCAAAUCAGAGAAGGUAAUUACUGGUCCAUCUAGUUCUGCAGUUCAGGAGAUUCUUGGUAUUACUCUAUCUUCUCUGUUAUAUUCUCAGUUAACUCAUUGCUCUCUUUGAUGCCAGAACUAACUAGUUCUAGUUUGUUGAUGUGGUGGCUUCUGAGACUUGUUCACUUUUGGCUCGUCCUUCUGUUAAUAAGGCAAAACAUCGUGCUUGUGAUAAGGGUGUUUUGUCUUCUCUUGGAUCGAUAAUUUCUUUGGCAUCUCUUGUCUUUCCUUCUAGGGAUCAUCUUGUUAUUGGUUCAUCUUCAGAGGCUUCGGUGGCUGGCUAGCAGCCACCCCAGAUGCCAUGAUGACCUUAGUUUGGAAUUGUCAUGGAAUUGGGCAUUCUCUGACAAUUUGGGCUCUUUAGGAGCUUCUGUGUAAAUAUCGCCCGGCUAUAGUUUUUCUUAUGGAGACUAAGAAUAAAUAGAGUUUUAUGGAAAAACUCCAAGGGCAAUGUGGGUACCCUUAUACUCUUUUGUUGAUCCUAUAAGUCGUGCUGGUGAUUUAUCUUUAUGGUGGGAUAAUUCUAUACCAUUAACACCAAUUUAGUGGUCUAAAAAUUUUAUACAUUGUAGAGUAUCUAAUAUACAGUAUGUUCCUUUGGCUUAUUUUACUUUUGUUUAUGGUUGCUUUGACCAUCGACUAUUUUUUUGGAAUCUUUAUUUUGACUUCGUCCUACAUCUUCUCCUUGGUGCUGUAUUGGAGAUUUAAUGUCCUUCGUUUCCAAGUGGAUAAAUUUGGUGGUAGUAAUGAGUUCAUCUUAAGUGCAUUUGUUUAAUGAUUUUAUCCACUUUUGUGAAUUAUUGGAAGUGACGAGUAAAGGAUCUCCUUUCACUUGGUUUAAUAAGCAUUUUAGUACUUUUGCCAUUCAACAACAAUUAGAUUAGGCUUUGGUUUCUACGAAAUGGCAGGAGAGUUUUUCUCAUACUCAAUUACUUCAUUAGUCUUUACUUGAAUAUGAUCAUCGCGCGCUUGUCUUGCUUUUGCAUUCCCUUUCUCAUAUACGAUCCUUUUUGUUUCAUUUUGAAGCACAAUGGUUGUUACAUCCACAAUAUGGCAGUAUUUUUCAACAGGCCUUGUGUGCUCCUCAUCAGGGUUCAUCUAUGUUUUCUCUAGUGUAGAAAUUACACAGUUGUCGGACCUCCUUUACUCAUUGGAAUGGUACUACCUUUAAAGGUUCUUGAGCUCUUUUACGUUCCCUACGACAAAAAUAAGAGGAGGUGUAUUCUCACCCUUUCGAUCUUGCUAAUUCUGGUGUGGCGGCUAAAUUAACUACAGACAUUCAUGACUUGUGGCAACAAGAUGAACUUCAUUGGCGACAACGAUCUCAUAUUCAAUAGUUGCAAGCUAGCAAUCGUAACUCCAAAUUCUUUCAUCUAUCUACCAUCCCACAAAGUUAGAGAAAUUAUAUUAUUCGGCUCCAAAAUGAAGCUGGAGUCUGGGUUGAAAGUUAAGAUCUUAUUUGUCGGGAUAUUAGAAAUUUUUUUCAAUAGUUGUAUACAUCUACUUUGUUAGCGAAUCCUUCUAUUGUUUUAUCUUUGAAUUCGUGACUUGUUACUACUGAUAUGAAUGAGCAGCUUUUGGCAUCGAUUACAAAUAAUAAAGUGUGACUUGCGAUUUUUAAUCUGGGCAAAGAUAAGGCUUCAGGUCCAGAUGGUUUUUUCAGGUUCCUUUUUUCAGCAUCACUGGGACGUUAUUGGUCACAAGUUGGGUCAAGCUAUGCGUAGGUUUUACACUUCGAGUUAUUUUUUGAAGGAAUUAAAUCGUACAAAUAUUGUUCUGGUGCCAAAGUGUCAUUGCCAAGAUACUCUCUAACAAUAUCGCCCGAUUAGUUUGUGUAACUUUGUUUAUAAGGUCAUUUCUAAAAUGAUGGUGCACCGUCUUAAGCCUUUUAUGGACUUUUUUAUUCCUUCUAAUCAGGCAGCUUUUAUCCCUUCUCAUGCUAUCCAAGACAAUAUAGUUAUUGCGCAUGAAGCUUUUCACUUUUUGAAAACUUCUAAUUAGAAACAUCAUUCCCUAGCAGUUAAAUUAGAUAUGUUCAAAACCUAUGAUCAAGAUGAUUGGGGUUUAUUGCAUUUUGUAUCGUUACAAAUGGAUUUUGCUGAAGCUUGGGUUCAGUUAGUUAUGCAAUAUGUUUUGACCAUUAGUUUUUCCAUCUUGGUCAAUGGCAAUCCUACAACUCCUUUUUCUCCUUCAUGUGGGCUUCGUCAAGGAGAUCCUUUGUCCCUUUAUUUGUGUCUCAAGUUCAUUCUUACUUAUUGGCUGCUGCCAAGUCAAAUGGUGGCUUCAUGGCAUCAAGCUCUCACAUUUUUCUUCGGCUAUUACCAGUGUGUUGUUUGUUGAUGAUAUUUUACUUUUUUUUGAAAGCUACUGAUAGAGCAUAAUUUAACCCAUUUUAUCCUAAUGUUAUUGAUGUUUAUUUACACCAUUUCUGCCUAAUUUUGUGGUUUCAAUCAUGUUUUGCAGAUAAUAGGUGUAAAGAGACAAUCUGGUGAAAAUGCUCUUAAAACUGCCAAAAAGUGCCAAAUAUGGAAAGUGCCAAAAAAGGAAAGUUUUCAAAUAAGGAAAGUUUUCAGAAAAGGAAAGUUUUCAAAUAAGGAAAGUGCAGAAGCAAAAGCAAAUAAGGAAAGCUCAUUCAGAAGAUUAUUUGAAAUUCAAAUCGCAGAUCUUUCUUUCCUUAUUCAAAGAUAUGCACACACUGCAGCAGUCAUAUCUUCCUAUUUAGGCAGCAAGAUUUCAUGAAGACGCACUUGCCUCUUCUGCAUUCAGCAUUCAAAAUUCAAAUGAAGGCUCAACCUAAAAAGGAAAGACUGGACAAAUUCACUUUCCCUUCUGUACAUCCAUCCGCGCGCACCAACUUCCCUCUACAGAGCAUCCGCACGCACCUCUUGCCUUCUGAAGAGCUUGCAAUGCGAUUCUUUCCUUUUCAGACACAACUUGGGUAGCAAGCACCUCUUGGGCAGCAAGGGCAGCAUUUAAGGAUCUAGGGUAACACUUUCAACUAUAAAAAGACACAUAAGGAGCCUCCCCACAGCUUUUUCAAGACCCUCUUGGAUACACCUACGGGAUUGCAAAUGACACCAUCUCUUCUUCUUCCUUUCUUUAUUUUUUGAUUUUUGAUUCAGCUAUGAGUGGCUGAAACCUUUUAUUCUAGUUGAAGAUUGGUUGAAAUUUUGGUUGUUUUAUGGAUUGUGAGAUCUGAACACACAUUGUUUGUCUUUUGGUUAUUCAAUAUUCAUACAGUUCAUGCUUGAUUCUAUUAUUGCUUUGUUAUUUUGAUCAAAUUGGUCACUUGAUUCUUGAUUGCAAGGUAAUAUAUUGUUAGUUUGGAUAAUUUUAAGUCCGUAAUUGCUUUGAUUAUCCAAACAUAAGAACACUUGGUGUGAAAACUAAGGAAAUUGUAUGAUCUAGCAACAUCUCAUGCGUUUGAGUAGUUAGGAUUGGAUCUCUCUCUGUCUUCAUGCAGUUAACAAUUGUUUGAUGCCUAAGGCCUAAGGACGUUCCUUGACAAUUUGUUAAUUAGUAAUUAAUUAGAGGACGUUCCUUAAUUGGUUUAAUCAUAAGGAGAGACAUGGUGGUGAGAAGCGUUUUCCAUCUCCAUAACCAAUCUAUUGAAUCAAUCAAAAGAACAUAAGUUUCAAUGAUCAAUCCAAACACCUGAAGUGGAUCAAACUCUUCAACUAGACCUUUCUGAUAUUUGAUUUACCUUUUAUUUUACUAUUCGCUUAUUUAAUUGCUUUCAGUAGUUGCUUAAUCAAAUCAAUCUCAAAACCCCCCAUUUUAAUUUUAUUGCACUUUAUUUUCAUUUUGUUUUCAGUUAAUUGAUUUCAGUUUCUCAUUCAGUUAAUUCUUUUGGUCUUGUUAAGAAAAAUAGAUAAGUUUUCAAUUCUCUGUGGAUUCGAUCCUUUACCACUAUCUGCAGUAGUAAUAUUGUUGAUAACCAGAAAGGUUAUUUUUGACCGGCUUCGACAACCGCGAAUAAAAAAUUGGCACUGUUGUCGGGGAGUUGAUUUAACUUGUUUGUUUUUCUUUCAGGACCAAAUCAGGAACAAAGCACCACCGAAUCUGCCUCUGAAGAAGCCACCAUCGCAGAUCUCUUCUAAAACAUCUCCAUCGCACAUCUCACCCUCUCUUCGCCAUUCGGAUUGCCCAUCCUUUCAUCAAAGCAAGUCACCAUCGCAGAUCUGAAUCAUGGAUGAGGUAAGUACAUCUGUUCUCUAUUCUCAACUCACAUCUGUUAUGAAAGAUUUUGCCAUAGGAAUAGUUCGACAGGUUCAAGCAUUCCAGCCACCUAGGCCAUGUGGGAUUUGUGCAUAUGUGGGACACCCAAUCGAUCAAUGUCCUACACUUUAUGAGUAUAACCAAUCAGUGCAUGCAUUUGGAGGAUUCUAUGAACAGCCAAGACAUGAUCCCUACUUUAACACAUACAAUUCAAGUUGGGGAGACCAUCCAAACUACGGUUAUGCUGGAGCUAACAAUUACCAAAAUUAUCAGGGAUAUCAAGCCCAACCAGCACCUCCAAGUACCAAGCAGCACCUUGAGAAGAUGAUGGAGACAUUGGCAAGUUCUAUGCAAAGCAUUCAAUAGCAGAUAGAACAAAUGACCACCUCAUUAAAUGCAAUCAUGUUAAGAAAAGAGGAAGAGUUUCAAGAUGAUGAGACAGAUGAUGAAAGUUCGCAAGUACAAGAACAAGCUGCUGAAGAGAAACAACCAGAAUACUGUUUGUCCAAACAAACUGGUCAAAUAGAACCUGUUGAUAGUUUAGAUAUCAUUGAUUAUUUGAGAAAAGAUGUUUUUUAUAUGAAUCAAGAUGAUAUUCUGAACAAUGAUCUUUGCAGGAAAAAGAGCCAGAAAGAGCCAUAACUAAAAGAAACUGACUAUUGCAUCCAACAGAUGGACUGCAGCCAUGCACAGAAUGAACAGAACCAAACCGCACCACUUCAGCUUGGUGCGAGAUCAACCUUGCAUAGACAGAGAGCAUUCCAGGUACGCCUCUUCAGCUUGAACUGCAAGACAGUCAUCCCUUUCAGGUAAGUCUUGCGCAGAAAGAGAAACCGAAAACCAAUUCAGCCAGACAGCCAACACAAACAGCCCAUGCUCACAAGGAACAAGUGGAAGUCCAAGAGCCCAAACCAAAGGAGCAUGCGGAUCAAUGCCUUCCCAAACCUCUGGAUAAGGUAGAGUUUGUUUUGCCUGAAUUCAGUACUAAAUUGCAGCUAGCUAUGGAGAAAUAUGAAUUGAAGUUGGAAAUGCUCAAGAAUGCAAAUAUGAGAGCUAGAGGCACACCUCAUCUGAAAGAGGAGAAGCUAAUCAUGUUACUUUAUGAGUACAUGAAAAAAGUAGGAUGGGUUAUGACCAAAUCAAAAGGAGUGCUACACUUUCUUCUCAAUUCAGUUGGGACUCUUUUCUCUUCCCCAAUUACUUGAGCCUUGAUCAAGGGGAUCGCACCAUGCACACCACACCCAGGGGAGUACUCAGUUUUCUUUUGCAUUUUAAUAUUUUCUAUACAUUGAGGACAAUGCAUAAUUUAGGUGUGGGGGUGCAUAUCUCUGAAUCUUUUCCUUUCAGCCUUUCAGUUUUUGCGAAUUUUUUUUCCUUUCAGUUUUUUUUUGCGAUUUUUCUUCUUUUUUUUCUUUCAGUUUAUGCUUUUUUUUUUCCUUUCAGUUUUCUUUUAGUUUGUUUUUGUUUUUGCUUUCAAUAAUAUACAUAACCACAAUCUUCUUCUUUUUGAUUGCUCUACUCAAACUGAUAGACUAUGUUGAAUGAGCUUUUCUUUCCAUGACCCCAUUGAUGUGAUGACACUUUAAACUUAUGUUGAAUCAAUUGCAGUGAGUUGUAUUCAUGUUUGAGAAUUACCUUUUGAAUUGAAUCUUUGAGCUUGCCAUGGUGAAAAAUGUAUUGAUGACACUCAUUAGAGAGAAUGAAUUGAAAUUUGUGUGAAUAAACUUAAUAUGACUUGUUUUAGCAAUUGGUGUUGAUUUGCCCAAUGCAUUGAUCAAAGAAAUUCAGCAAAGGCUUAGACUUCAUAAGCACAAUUGAAAACUGUUCGAAUGGUUGAAAGACUAUGAACAGAGCUAGUAGCCACUUGGACAGGUGACCAACUGAGUAACUGGGGGUGGGUAUCACCAAUAUGUACCUUCACGUCAAAAGGUUGGUGACUUUUUGAAGCAAAACUUAAGUGCAAAAGGCUGAAUAUAGUACUUUAAGGUAAGGAUAAAUCACUCUGAAAGCUAGAAAAAGUCUUAACUGAAUAAGAACAUGUGCAUGUGUAAUCUCACUCUUGAGGAAAACAAAUCCUAACCAUGGUAAGUAAAGGGAAAUAAGGAAAGAAUGUGAGUAAUCUUCAUGCAUAUAUUCUUCACUGCAAUGAUUCAAAAUAGGUGUCUUGAGUAAGAGUUUAAGUGGAAAUAAGGAUCAAGUAGCAAAGAAAGCUUGUUUGACUAAGUUUAUUUACUUGAGGACAAGCAAAAGGCUAGGUGUGGGGGUAUUUGAUAGAGCAUAAUUUAGCCCAUUUUAUCCUAAUAUUAUUGAUGUUUAUUUACACCAUUUCUGCCUAAUUUUGUGGUUUUAAUCAUGUUUUGCAGAUAAUAGGUGUAAAGAGACAAUCUGGUGAAAAUGCUCUUAAAACUGCCAAAAAGUGCCAAAUAUGGAAAGUUCCAAAAAAGGAAAGUUUUCAAAUAAGGAAAGUUUUCAAAAAAGGAAAGUUUUCAAAUAAGGAAAGUGCAGAAGCAAAAGCAAAUAAGGAAAGCUCAGUCAGAAGAUUAUUUGAAAUUCAAAUCGCAGAUCUUUCUUUCCUUGUUCAAAGAUGUGCACACACUGCAGCAGUCAUAUCUUCCUAUUUAGACAGCAAGAUUUCAUGAAGACGCACUUGCCUCUUCUGCAUUCAGCAUUCAAAAUUCAAAUGAAGGGUCCAACUAAAAAGAAAAGACUGGACAGAUUCACUUUCCCUUCUGUACAUCCAUCUGCGCGCGCCAACUUCCCUCUGCAGAGCAUCCGCGCGCACCUCUUGCCUUCUGAAGAGCUUGCAACGCGAUUCUUUCCUUUUCAGACACAACUUGGGCAGCAAGCACCUCUUGGGCAGCAAGGGCAGCAUGUAAGGACCUAGGGCAACACUUUCAACUAUAAAAAGACACAUAAGGAGCCUCCCCACAGCUUUUUCAAGACCCCCUUGGACACACCUACGGGAUUGCAAGUGACACCAUCUCUUAUUCUUCCUUUCUUUAUUUUUUGAUUUUUGAUUUAGCCAUGAGUGGCUGAAACCUUUUAUUCUAGUUGAAGAUUGGUUGAAAUUUUGGUUGUUUUAUGGAUUGUGAGAUCUGAACACACAUUGUUUGUCUUUUGGUUAUUCAAUAUUCAUACAGUUCAUGCUUGAUUCUAUUAUUGCUUUGUUAUUUUGAUCAAAUUGGCCACUUGAUUCUUGAUUGCAAGGUAAUAUAUUGUUAGUUUGGAUAAUUUUAAGUCCGUAAUUGCUUUGAUUAUUCAAACAUAAGAACACUUGGUGUGAAAACUAAGGAAAUUGUAUGAUCUAUCAACAUCUCAUGCGUUUGAGUAGUUAGGAUUGGAUCUCUCUCUCUCUUCAUGCAGUUAACAAUUGUUUGAUGCCUAAGGCCCAAGGACAUUCCUUAGCAAUUUGUUAAUUAGUAAUUAAUUAGAGGACGUUCCCUAAUUGGUUUAAUCAUAAGGAGAGACAUGGUGGUGAGAAGCGUUUUCCAUCUCCAUAACCAAUCUAUUGAAUCAAUCAAAAGAACAUAAGUUUCAAUGAUCAAUCCAAACAACUGAAGUGGAUCCAACUCUUCAACUAGACCUUUCUGAUAUUUGAUUUGCCUUUUAUUUUAUUAUUCGCUUAUUUAAUUGCUUUCAGUAGUUGCUUAAUCAAAUCAAUCUCAAAACCCCCCAUUUUAAUUUUAUUGCACUUUAUUUUCAUUUUGCUUUCAGUUAAUUGCUUUCAGUUUCUCAUUCAGUUAAUUCUCUUGGUAUUGUUAAGAAAAAUAGAUAAGUUUUCAAUUCUCUGUGGAUUCGAUCCUUUACCACUAUAUGCAGUAGUAAUAUUGUUGAUAACCGAAAAGGUUAUUUUUGACCGGCUUCGACAACCGCGAGUCAGCCACUCAUCAUGAGGCUGGUCAACUUCUUUGGGUUUUAGAACUAUACUGCCGUCAUGGGUCAAAGUAUUAAUUUUCAUAAGUCUCUAAGUUUUAUUUAGCAAAUAUACUCCUCUGGCAUUGUAUUGAGAGCUUCUUUCUUUAUUUCCUUUGCAUGAGAUGCAACCUUCUCAAAAAUAUUUAGGACUUCUAGCACUCCUUGGUCGGUCUAAGUGAUAUGCUCUCUAAUGGGUAGAAGAUCAUCUUACGGCAAAGAUGCAAUUUUGGAGACACAAGCUUCUUUCCCAUGCCGGUAGGGAUACCCUUCUCCAAUUGAUUUUAUAGGCAAUAUCUACUUAUUAUAUGUCUAUUUUACAAUACCCAAAGACUUUUUGUGCUUGGCUAAAUAGUUUAUUAUCACAAUUUUAAUGGCGAGGGGAUACUCAUCAAAGGAAAAUUAGCUAGACUAGUUGGGUUGGCUUGUGUAAAUCAAAGUUUCAUGGUGGUCUUCGUUUUAAAGACUUUCAAAAGUUUAAUCUUACUUGUUUAGCCAAAUAGAGCUAGCGUCUUGUGACCGAUGCUUCUAGUCUUUAGGCAUGAGUCAUUAAAGGGCUAUAUUUUCUCCGAUCUUCUUUUGGGAAGCCUCUCAAUGCUCUCGUAGUUUUUGGAUUUGGCAAGCUUAUUAGUUGGUCGUGUAGCUUUGGCAAAAGGGGGUCCGUUUUAACAUUGGAGAUGGUCGUAACACUCUUCUACGGGAUGAACCAUGGGUUCCAGGUGUGGUUGAUUUUUUAUUAUCUUGGCCUAGCAAUUUCCCUCUUCAUCUUCAUCUAGUGGCUGAUCUUUUUGACCGAACUGCUUCACAGUGGAAUCAAUCUCUUAUUUUUCGAUUCUUUUCACCAUCUCAGGCGAAAGCCAUCUUUGCUGUCCUAAUUGUUCUCUUGUUUGGCAUUUUGAGUCCUAAUCGUUCUCUUUGUAUGUUAGUUCUUCUUCAGUUCCCUCUACUUCACAAUCUCUUUCCCUUUCCAUGUGGAAAUGUACAUGGUUGCUGCCCAUCCCUCCUAAGGUUAAAUUCUUUUUUUUUUGGUGCUUGCUUCAUAAUGCUCUUCCUGUUUUGAGUAAUUUGGUACAUAGGGAAAUGUCCUUGUCCCCACAUUUUUUAUUGUGUCACUGUGGACUAGAGACAAUCGAACAUGCUUUGUUCUGGUGUUUGCAUGCUUUAGCUAUGUGGUUUCGCAAUCCUUAUGGCUAUAAAUCAUCUACAGUUUGUUUUCUAGGUUUUCUUCUUAGUGGGAGCAGUUAUGACAACAUUUUAGUAGUGAAUAAGAUUGUGUAUACCUUAUGUCGUUAAUCUCUCUCACGCUUUGGCAUAUUUGAAAAUCUCGAAAUAAAGGUAUCUUUGAUCACUCUUUGCCAAAUCUAACUUAUACAGUGAGAUGUGUUACUUUUAAGUUAUCUCUUUUGCAACAUUUUCGUGUUUUUUGUGGCUGUUCUCCCUUUCUGCUACUAUAGGCUGCUCAUCCAUGUGGUUACACCCUCCUAAGGUGUUUUGAAGAUUAAUUCUCAUAUGACUUAGCGAGAUCAAUUUUUGAGUAAUGCUAUUAUUCUUAUAAUUUGUAAUAACUCUGGUUAGCUAUUUGAUGGUUUGGUCAGACAAUUUUGGUAUUACUCACCUGCAGUUGACGAGGCAAUGGCACUUCUGGAUGAUCUUCGUUUGGCAAUGAGUUAAGGAUAUUGUCAUGUGAUCUGUGAAGUUGAUUCUGCUAUUUUUGUAAUACCUGGCUAGACCCCGGCAUCGGAAUUCCUACCUUCCGGCGGAAUCUCCGUUAGAAUCCGGAAUUCUCGGAUGUCAGAGCCUUCUAGAAGGGUAAAAUAAAGGUUUUCUAAAAUGUUUUUAUAUGUUUUAUGGUUUUAUUAAAGAAAGAAUUGAGUUUUGAAAGAAAAAGACCAAGGAGGGAAAAGCCAGGUUCGGCCGCCGAACAUUAGGCUCUUGCGGAAGCACCUUUGGCCCCCGAAGGUGGUAUGGCCAGCCACCUAUAAAAUGCCCAUUGUCCAAAAAUAGGCGAGUUUUCUCUCUCUAUUUUCGGGCAUAGGUGAGAUUUCGCCCUCCCAUGGUUGAUUUUGUGUUUUCCUUCAAAUCCUUCAAGUUUUGAUGAGUUUUCACCUUUGUUUUGAAGAUUUUAAGCUAAGAUCAAGGUUUUGAAGCUUGGAGACCCCCGGAGCUCGAUUUCUCCCAAUCUCCAAGUUUGGAUCACAUCUCCUCUCGAUCUUUAAGAGGUAAGUGUAGAUCCUCGCCUUCUUUUAUGUUUUAAGUGAGUUUUAAGGGGUUUUAAGGGUGUUUAAUGCAUGACUAGAGUAGAUCUAAAAUGUUAGGGUUUAUGUACCCUUUAUGCUUAAUGUGAUGUUGUUGGGGUAUAGGCUAGUUUUAUGCCCCUAUAUGCUUGAAUAAGUGUUUAUGCAUGUUUUAGAAUAGUUGAAUGCCUGUUGUGAGGUUUGUGGUGGCUGGAUAUGAGAGGCAGAAUCAGAUUUUGCCAUUCUGGAGAACCCAGGUUCGGCCGCUGAAGCCAUGUUCGGCCGCCGAACCUGCCUGUGGAGGUAGCUUUAGGCCGCCUAAACUCGCCCCCGAAAGUUGGACUUUUGGCUCUGGAGGGGAGUUUCGGCCGCUGAACCUGCCCCUAAAGGUUAGUGACUUUCGGAUCUGGAGGGAGUUUCGGCCGCCGAACCUGCCCCUAAAAGUGCCUGACUUUCGGAUCUGGAGGGACCUUCGGCCGCCGAACCUGCCGCCGAAAGUCCCCUGCCCAACCUUCCUUUGCUUGUUUUGCAUGCAUGUUUCAUGAUAUUUUAGGGGGUUUUUAGGGACUUGUUUAGAGUCAUGUUAGAGUAUGUUUGGUCCCUCAUUUGAGUCCACCUGUGUAGGAUCGGACCUAAGGAACCGAGGUGAUUAGCAGUGAGAUAGCUGCUUCAGAGUUAGUUUAGAGUCAGCCAGAGGUGAGUAGAACUAAACUAAUCUUUUAUUUCAAGAAGUCAAAUGUUUUAAGCAUGUUCAUGCAUCAUGUAUAUGAAAUAGGUUGGAUGCAUUAGAUUUCACGAAUAUGCCGCAUUGCAUAAUUGGUUGUUGAU